Molecule: ribosomal RNA, 465 nt
Filed under: uncultured bacterium
Lineage: Bacteria
Description: partial 16S ribosomal RNA
Rfam family: Bacterial small subunit ribosomal RNA
Source: RNAcentral
GACGAACGCUGGCGGCGUGCUUAACACAUGCAAGUCGAACGGAAAGGCCCUGCUUGCAGGGUACUCGAGUGGCGAACGGGUGAGUAACACGUGGGUGAUCUGCCCUGCACUUCGGGAUAAGCCUGGGAAACUGGGUCUAAUACCGGAUAGGAGCCAGUUUUAGUGUGAUGGUUGGAAAGUUUUUUCGGUGUAGGAUGAGCUCGCGGCGUAUCAGCUUGUUGGUGGGGUAAUGGCCUACCAAGGCGGCGACGGGUAGCCGGCCUGAGAGGGUGGACGGCCACAUUGGGACUGAGAGACGGCCCAGACUCCUACGGGAGGCAGCAGUGGGGAAUAUUGCACAAUGGGCGCAAGCCUGAUGCAGCGAGGCCGCGUGGGGGAUGACGGCUUUCGGGUUGUAAACUCCUUUCGCUAGGGACGAAGCUUUUUGUGACGGUACCUAGAUAAGAAGCACCGGCUAACUACGUG